AAGUCGUAACAAGGUUUCCGUAGGUGAACCUGCGGAAGGAUCAUUAAAAAAAUUGCGAAACGGGGGAGCUGUCGCUGGCCUUUCGGGGCAUGUGCACGCUCCUUCAAAUUCAAAUCCAAACCUGUGAACCAACGGCGGAAGGGUUUUUGAGGUGCUGCGGUGCCAACGGGGGGACCCUUCCUGCUCAUCACGCACCCUUUGUAUGUUUUAGAAUGUCAUCUGCGUAUUUUCGCAACAUAUACAACUUUCAGCAACGGAUCUCUUGGCUCUC
This 271-nucleotide unclassified non-coding RNA is filed under the name air metagenome. RNAcentral describes it as "partial contains small subunit ribosomal RNA, internal transcribed spacer 1, and 5.8S ribosomal RNA". The stretch from base 1 to 46 matches the Rfam family "Eukaryotic small subunit ribosomal RNA", at positions 1786 to 1831 of the family's 1831-position model. The record is from RNAcentral.